Molecule: long non-coding RNA, 163 nt
Filed under: Callithrix jacchus (white-tufted-ear marmoset)
Lineage: Eukaryota; Metazoa; Chordata; Mammalia; Primates; Cebidae
Description: lncRNA (ENSCJAG00000076161.1)
Source: RNAcentral
CCCUGGCUACUGUCUAUGUUCACUCAAGGCUGUGGGGCUAGACAAUCAGCAGGUGGCAAGCCAUCCUAAGCCUGUAUCUUUCCCUUCAGGGCAGGAAAUGAUAUUCCCCAUUCACCAGCAGCUGGAGAGGGUCUCCACAGCAGAACACUGCGGCUGGAGGUGA